RNAcentral lists this ribosomal RNA (467 nucleotides) under uncultured bacterium. RNAcentral's name for it is "partial 16S ribosomal RNA". It matches the Rfam family "Bacterial small subunit ribosomal RNA", at positions 28 to 507 of the family's 1533-position model. The record is from RNAcentral.
GACGAACGCUGGCGGCGUGCUUAACACAUGCAAGUCGAACGGAAAGGCCCUGCUUUUGUGGGGUGCUCGAGUGGCGAACGGGUGAGUAACACGUGAGUAACCUGCCCUUGACUUUGGGAUAACUUCAGGAAACUGGGGCUAAUACCGGAUAGGAGCUCCUGCUGCAUGGUGGGGGUUGGAAAGUUUCGGCGGUUGGGGAUGGACUCGCGGCUUAUCAGCUUGUUGGUGGGGUAGUGGCUUACCAAGGCUUUGACGGGUAGCCGGCCUGAGAGGGUGACCGGCCACAUUGGGACUGAAAUACGGCCCAGACUCCUACGGGAGGCAGCAGUGGGGAAUAUUGCACAAUGGGCGGAAGCCUGAUGCAGCAACGCCGCGUGCGGGAUGACGGCCUUCGGGUUGUAACCGCUUUCGCCUGUGACGAAGCGUGAGUGACGGUAAUGGGUAAAGAAGCACCGGCUAACUACGUG